ACCUUACCAGCUCUUGACAUCUUCUGACAACUCUAGAGAUAGAGCGUUCCCUUCGGGGACAGAAUGACAGGUGGUGCAUGGUUGUCGUCAGCUCGUGUCGUGAGAUGUUGGGUUAAGUCCCGUAACGAGCGCAACCCUUGUUGUUAGUUGCCAGCAUUAAGUUGGGCACUUUAACGAGACUGCCGGUGAUAAACCGGAGGAAGGCGGGGAUGACGUCAAAUCAUCAUGCCCCUUAUGAGCUGGGCUACACACGUGCUACAAUGGAUGGUACAACGAGCAGCGAUCCCGCAAGGGCUAGCUAAUCUUUCAAAGCCAUUCUCAGUUCGGAUUGCACUCUGCAACUCGAGUGCAUGAAGUCGGAAUCGCUAGUAAUCGCGAAUCAGAAUGUCGCGGUGAAUCCGUUCCCGGGUCUUGUACACACCGCCCGUCACNACCACGAGAGUUUGAAACACCCGAAGUCGGCCGGCCAACCCUAUGGGAG
RNAcentral lists this ribosomal RNA (481 nucleotides) under uncultured bacterium. RNAcentral's name for it is "bacterial SSU rRNA". It matches the Rfam family "Bacterial small subunit ribosomal RNA", at positions 968 to 1449 of the family's 1533-position model. The record is from RNAcentral.